This is a non-coding RNA of Clarias gariepinus (North African catfish), 773 nucleotides long. Lineage: Eukaryota; Metazoa; Chordata; Actinopteri; Siluriformes; Clariidae. The record is from the annotation of a RefSeq genome assembly.
ACACACACACACACACACAUACACACACACACACACACACACACACACACACACAGACAGUUGUGGUGUUUGCAUAUGUGUGCUGUGUCAGUGCUGCACACACUUUAAGAGCUGUAGUGCUGAUCAGAGUGUGUUCAGUCCUUUCAGAGCCACUGACACGCAGCACAAUGAUGAUGGUACUGAUUCUACUGCUGGGGACACUGGGACUCCUCGCUCACCAGUCCUUUGGGGAAAUCGUCCUGACUCAGUCUCCAGGAGCUCAGUCUGUUUCUCCAGGACAAUCUGUUACUCUCACCUGUACAGCCAGUGGAUAUAUACAUGAUGACCUGACCUGGUACCUGCAGAAACCUGGAGAAGCUCCUAAAUCGCUGAUAUAUGAUGCAUAUCAUCUUCAGUCUGGAAUUCCAGAUCGUUUCCGUGGCAGUUAUUCAGGUUCAAAUUUUUAUCUAAAAAUCUCUGGAGUUCAGACUGAAGAUGCAGGAGAUUAUUACUGUCAGCUGGAAUACGUUCCAUACACACAGUGUUAUAGCGCCGUACAAAAACCUCCCUCAGCUGUAGAGGAAGUGCUCUGAGUCAGAAACACACACUGAUGUGAAAACAGCUGCAGAUCUGCUAAAGCUGCACUCCACUGAACAUCAUCAAACGUCUUCAUGUUUAAAUAAUAAUCAUUCCUGAGAAGCAGAAAACUCUUAAUCAGCUGUUCCUUCUGUGAUGAGAAAUCAGCUGGUGUGUAUAAUGGUGUAUGAUGAUGAUUUCCACCUUCCACCUUUUGC